RNAcentral lists this ribosomal RNA (254 nucleotides) under uncultured bacterium. RNAcentral describes it as "partial 16S ribosomal RNA". It matches the Rfam family "Bacterial small subunit ribosomal RNA", at positions 524 to 776 of the family's 1533-position model. The record is from RNAcentral.
UACGUAGGGUGCGAGCGUUGUCCGGAAUUAUUGGGCGUAAAGAGCUCGUAGGCGGUGUGUCACGUCGGCCGUGAAAACCUGCAGCUUAACUGUGGGCGUGCGGUCGAUACGGGCAUCACUGGAGUUCGGCAGGGGAGACUGGAAUUCCUGGUGUAGCGGUGAAAUGCGUAGAUAUCGGGAGGAACACCAGUGGCGAAGGCGACUCACUGGACACAUAUUGACGCUGAGGUGCGAAAGCGUGGGGAGCAAACAGG